CAGGUGCUCCUCUGAUUUAAUUGUUUGGAAGUAGUCACUGGAAGCAAAGCUAUGUGACUCAGCUUUGGCGAAGCAGUCCAGCUGCGAUCUGACAGGAGAUCGCAAGAAUGCCAAGUCCCUAACGGUCCUGCGCUUAUUUCUUUCAAUGGCCAAUGAACUUUGGAGAAUGGACAAUGAAGGGAAGGCUUGCUGACUAGGCCACGAGAAGCAUGGCCUAUUAGAAGAUUAAAGACCUGUGGUCCAGUUAACACAUUACACCAGAGCCAAAGCCAGACGGCCAAGAGAUGUGUGAGCGGAACCAUCCUAGCCUAGCCAGCCCCAGCCAACCCGCCAGCUGGCCGCCAACGCCCGAGCAAGCCAGGCAAGACACAGCCAA
This is a long non-coding RNA of Manis pentadactyla (Chinese pangolin), 376 nucleotides long. RefSeq lists it as uncharacterized. The record is from RefSeq and is a predicted model, not a curated record. The transcript has 3 exons. Lineage: Eukaryota; Metazoa; Chordata; Mammalia; Pholidota; Manidae.